AGCGAACGCUGGCGGCAGGCCUAACACAUGCAAGUCGAACGGACCCUUCGGGGUUAGUGGCGGACGGGUGAGUAACACGUGGGAACGUGCCUUUAGGUUCGGAAUAGCUCCUGGAAACGGGUGGUAAUGCCGAAUGUGCCCUUCGGGGGAAAGAUUUAUCGCCUUUAGAGCGGCCCGCGUCUGAUUAGCUAGUUGGGGAGGUAAUGGCUCACCAAGGCGACGAUCAGUAGCUGGUCUGAGAGGAUGACAAGCCACAUUGGGACUGAGACACGGCCCAAACUCCUACGGGAGGCAGCAGUGGGGAAUCUUGCGCAAUGGGCGAAAGCCUGACGCAGCCAUGCCGCGUGGAUGAUGAAGGUCUUAGGAUUGUAAAAUCCUUUCACCGGUGAAGAUAAUGACUGUAGCCGGAGAAGAAGCCCCGGCUAACUUCGUGCCAGCCGCCGCAGUAA
Molecule: ribosomal RNA, 449 nt
Filed under: uncultured bacterium
Lineage: Bacteria
Description: partial 16S ribosomal RNA
Rfam family: Bacterial small subunit ribosomal RNA
Source: RNAcentral